CCUUGCUCUGUUAUGUGAUCUGUUGCUUCUGGUGAGUCACUGUUUUCAAUUAGGGGGCUGCUUAAAAGCAAGGCGAGAAUAGUCAUCCAAAGCCUGUGAAAGGAUCAACCUCAUGGAUGGACUUUUUUUUUUUCAGGGAUCAUUUUUGCUGAGAGUUCUGACUCAUGGGGGAGUAUUAUAGUCUCCAGUGUAACCUACAAACCUUGGAUUCUCGGGUGAUGCCUCAUCCAAGAGCUAACUAGUCCCAAUCCCACUUAGUUUCUGAGCCAGCAUAAGAUUGGCCAGGUGCUGCCACUGCUGAGAUCACAGGGAAGGAUCAAUGAAUCAUAAUUAAGAACUGAGGCCUUGAGCAGGAUGGGGAUAUUCCCAGUGGGUUCUCAAGAAUCCAAGCAAUGACUCCAUUGAAGCCAUCAGUGAAGAGACUGCAAUAUGUUCCCGCUAUCCUUUUUUAAAAAAUCGAAAUAUAAAUCCAGAAGAAGGAGAUGAGGGGAACUGGAAGAGUUUCAAAUGGAUUUUCUCACCAGUGCUCCAAAGCAGAACUGCCAUUAUGCCAGAAACAUUAGGAGGCCCUAUAAAAUUUUAGACCUUAAAUUCAUUCCACAUUUCUGGGAGACAGCUCUAUUCCAGGUGCAACAUGGAUGCAAAACCUAGCUUUUGCAGCUACACAUUGCAGUAUAUAAACUUGAAAGGUAGCAGAAAUUAUUCCAUUGUAUCUUGACCUGUUAGGUAAUAGAAAGCCUUCUUGGUUAAGUAAAGAGCUGAAGUGAGCAGUUAAGGUUAGAGGUAAAGAUUGAUGUCAAAGACAUAGGGUUCAUACAGAAGAAAGACCCUAUGUUAAAAAAAUUGUUGCAAGCUAUAACCAGAAAUGAGAAUGGAUAGACAAAAAGGUCUGUUUGCAGAAAGGGAAGGUUUUUUUAAAAUAUAGGUAUAAGGAUGACCUUGGCACAGAUCCAACCAUUUUCUUUCAGCCAAGCACUUCAUCCUUCCACAAAUUUCUUUUCACUUCAUAUGUCAAGCAACACCUUUCAGUUUCAGCCUUAGGGAGGGUCAAAAUAAUGUCCCAAACCAAAGACACAGGAUUGGAGAAAUGCCACAUUGCCCAGAAGUUCAAUUUUUAAUUAGCUUUCAAGUAGUUGGGAUUGAAACCGCUAGCCUGAAAACGAAACAUUUGUUUUAAAUACAUUGUUAGCGCUUGUGAUUAUAAAAUAAAAUAAAAAAAGAUUCCUAGGGAAUGAUA
Molecule: long non-coding RNA, 1237 nt
Organism: Pantherophis guttatus
Lineage: Eukaryota; Metazoa; Chordata; Lepidosauria; Squamata; Colubridae
Source: RefSeq, a predicted model, not a curated record